AAAUACUUUUGAAAGAAACUGAGCUUCAAAUGAAUCAUUUUCUGAUUAAUAUUUCUAUACAUUUUCUCUAAGAUUAGGAGAAAGCAUAACUUGUUCUUAAAGGAUUAGAAAGAGUGAUUACUAUAAAUUUUGAAUAAUUCUAGAUCACUCUACAUUCUCGAUAUCAUAAGAAAGAAUGAUUAAAGAGGAAUGCAUCUUUCGAGGGGGAGCUUUAGAUAUUCAGUAUCUUCCAAAAAUUACUUUAAUUUGAAGCAUACCUUGAUUUUUAUGGAUUGAUUUUGAUGAACCUCUUUAUAUUGCAAUACUUGCUUUAAUUAUAAGUUUAUACCUUG
This 332-nucleotide long non-coding RNA is filed under the name Phoenix dactylifera (date palm). RNAcentral describes it as "long non-coding RNA (PDAC_LNC011370)". The record is from RNAcentral. Lineage: Eukaryota; Viridiplantae; Streptophyta; Magnoliopsida; Arecales; Arecaceae.